UGGGGAAUAUUGGACAAUGGGGGGAACCCUGAUCCAGCCAUGCCGCGUGUGUGAAGAAGGCCUUAUGGUUGUAAAGCACUUUAAGCGAGGAGGAGGGUACUGGUAUUAAUACUACCAGGUACUGGACGUUACUCGCAGAAUAAGCACCGGCUAACUCUGUGCCAGCAGCCGCGGUAAUACAGAGGGUGCGAGCGUUAAUCGGAUUUACUGGGCGUAAAGCGUGCGUAGGCGGCUAAUUGAGUCGGAUGUGAAAUCCCCGAGCUUAACUUGGGAAUUGCAUUCGAUACUGGUUAGCUAGAGUGUGGGUGAGGAUGGUAGAAUUCCAGGUGUAGCGGUGAAAUGCGUAGAGAUCUGGAGGAAUACCGAUGGCGAAGGCAGCCAUCUGGCCUAACACUGACGCUGAGGUACGAAAGCAUGGGGAGCAAACAGG
RNAcentral lists this ribosomal RNA (430 nucleotides) under Pseudomonadota bacterium. Its description in RNAcentral is "Proteobacteria bacterium partial 16S ribosomal RNA". It matches the Rfam family "Bacterial small subunit ribosomal RNA", at positions 355 to 776 of the family's 1533-position model. Lineage: Bacteria; Pseudomonadati; Pseudomonadota. The record is from RNAcentral.